GGACCAAGUCAUCAUGUUGGCUUUAGAGGCUGUGCUCUGUCUCCUGCUGAAAUAGUGGAGACACCACUAGGAAAUCUUCAAGUUGAUUUAAAAUUAAUACAAGAAUUGAGAAAUACUAAAAUAUUUAAAGAAAUAAAUAUACAACAGGAUAUGGACGAACAUUCUCUCGAAAUGCAGUAUCCAUUUAUUUACAAAAUAUUCGGAGGAUCAAUUAAAAUUGUCCCAAUCAUGGUGGGGUCCUGUGAUUCUGAAAUGUCGAGAAGAACUGCAAAAAUCCUCUCAAAAUAUUUGAUGGACAAAACCAAUUUUUUUGUCAUUUCCACCGAUUUUUGUC
Long non-coding RNA from Octopus sinensis (East Asian common octopus), 334 nucleotides. RefSeq lists it as uncharacterized. NCBI's taxonomy places the organism in Eukaryota, Metazoa, Mollusca, Cephalopoda, Octopoda, Octopodidae. The transcript is spliced from 3 exons. The record is from RefSeq and is a predicted model, not a curated record.